Long non-coding RNA from Gopherus flavomarginatus (Mexican gopher tortoise), 289 nucleotides. RefSeq lists it as uncharacterized. Lineage: Eukaryota; Metazoa; Chordata; Testudines; Testudinidae. The transcript has 3 exons. The record is from RefSeq and is a predicted model, not a curated record.
GGAGGAAAGGAACCAGGGAAAGGAUUGACAGCUGCAGUUCCUCUCUAGAUCUGCUCCUGGAAUGAUGCUGUUAUGUGCUACCCCUUAGUCAUGGCUAGAGGGGGAGAGUUUUAAAAGGAACGGUGCGGUGGGGUGUUUCCUUCUGACAGAGCCUUGCAAAGGAUCAAGGAAAACAGCAAGAAAAGAAAGAAGAGAUUUAAAGUCUUGGUGCGAGAGAGAGAGAGAGAGAGAGAGAGAGAGAGAACACAAUCUGGCCAUCCCAGUCCCUGGCUCCAACCCACCCUGCUGU